UACGAAGGGGGCUAGCGUUGCUCGGAAUUACUGGGCGUAAAGGGCGCGUAGGCGGAUAGUUUAGUCAGAGGUGAAAGCCCAGGGCUCAACCUUGGAAUUGCCUUUGAUACUGGCUGUCUUGAGUAUGGGAGAGGUGAGUGGAACUCCGAGUGUAGAGGUGAAAUUCGUAGAUAUUCGGAAGAACACCAGUGGCGAAGGCGGCUCACUGGCUCAUUUCUGACGCUCAGGCGCGACAGCGUGGGGAUCAAACAGG
This 253-nucleotide ribosomal RNA is filed under the name uncultured bacterium. RNAcentral describes it as "partial 16S ribosomal RNA". It matches the Rfam family "Bacterial small subunit ribosomal RNA", at positions 524 to 776 of the family's 1533-position model. The record is from RNAcentral.